GCCAGCUUAGCUCAGUUGGUAGAGCUGCGGUUUUGUAAACCGUCGGUCGGGGGUUCGAGUCCCUUAGCUGGCU
Molecule: transfer RNA, 73 nt
Filed under: bacterium
Lineage: Bacteria
Also listed under: 1 other name
Description: tRNA-Thr
Rfam family: tRNA
About the family: Transfer RNA (tRNA) molecules are approximately 80 nucleotides in length. Their secondary structure includes four short double-helical elements and three loops (D, anti-codon, and T loops).
Source: RNAcentral